AAGCCAUGCAUGUCUAAGUAUAAGCAAUUAUACAGCGAAACUGCGAAUGGCUCAUUAUAUAAGUUAUCGUUUAUUUGAUAGUACCUUACUACUUGGAUAACCGUGGUAAUUCUAGAGCUAAUACAUGCUGAAAAUCCCGACUUCGGAAGGGAUGUAUUUAUUAGAUUCAAAACCAAUGCCCUCUGGGCUCACUGGUGAUUCAUGAUAACUCUUCGAAUCGCAUGGCCUUGCGCCGGCGAUGGUUCAUUCAAAUUUCUUCCCUAUCAACUUUCGAUGUUUGGGUAGUGGCCAAACAUGGUUGCAACGGGUAACGGAGGGUUAGGGCUCGACCCCGGAGAAGGAGCCUGAGAAACGGCUACUACAUCCAAGGAAGGCAGCAGGCGCGCAAAUUACCCAAUCCCGACACGGGGAGGUAGUGACAAUAAAUACUGAUACAGGGCUCUUUUGGGUCUUGUAAUUGGAAUGAGUACAAUUUAAAUCCCUUAACGAGGAACAAUUGGAGGGCAAGUCUGGUGCCAGCAGCCGCGGUAAUUCCAGCUCCAAUAGCGUAUAUUAAAGUUGUUGUGGUUAAAAAGCUCGUAGUUGAACCUUGGGCCUGGCUGGCCGGUCCGCCUCACCGCGUGUACUGGUCCGGCCGGGCCUUUCCCUCUGUGGAACCCCAUGCCCUUCACUGGGUGUGGCGGGGAAACAGGACUUUUACUUUGAAAAAAUUAGAGUGCUCCAGGCAGGCCUAUGCUCGAAUACAUUAGCAUGGAAUAAUGAAAUAGGACGCGCGGUUCUAUUUUGUUGGUUUCUAGGACCGCCGUAAUGAUUAAUAGGGACAGUCGGGGGCAUCAGUAUUCAAUUGUCAGAGGUGAAAUUCUUGGAUUUAUUGAAGACUAACUACUGCGAAAGCAUUUGCCAAGGAUGUUUUCAUUAAUCAGGAACGAAAGUUAGGGGAUCGAAGACGAUCAGAUACCGUCGUAGUCUUAACCAUAAACUAUGCCGACUAGGGAUCGGACGAUGUUAUUUUUUGACUCGUUCGGCACCUUACGAGAAAUCAAAGUGCUUGGGCUCCCAGGGGGAGUAUGGUCGCAAGGCUGAAACUUAAAGAAAUUGACGGAAGGGCACCACCAGGGGUGAGCCUGCGGCUUAAUUUGACUCAACACGGGGAAACUCACCAGGUCCAGACACAAUGAGGAUUGACAGAUUGAGAGCUCUUUCUUGAUUUUGUGGGUGGUGGUGCAUGGCCGUUCUUAGUUGGUGGAGUGAUUUGUCUGCUUAAUUGCGAUAACGAACGAGACCUUAACCUGCUAAAUAGCCCGUAUUGCUUUGGCAGUACGCCGGCAUCUUAUAGGAACUAUUCGCUCAA
Molecule: ribosomal RNA, 1351 nt
Filed under: Ophiocordyceps bispora
Lineage: Eukaryota; Fungi; Ascomycota; Sordariomycetes; Hypocreales; Ophiocordycipitaceae
Description: SSU rRNA
Rfam family: Eukaryotic small subunit ribosomal RNA
Source: RNAcentral